AGAGUUUGAUCCUGGCUCAGGACGAACGCUGGCGGCGUGCCUAACACAUGCAAGUCGAACGCGAUCUUCGGAGUAGUUUACUACACCGAAGUGAAAGUGGCGGACGGGUGAGUAACGCGUGGGUAACCUGGCCUAUGGAAGGGGAUAGCCUCGGGAAACCGGGAUUAAUACCGUAUGUAGUUGGAAGAUCGCAUGAUCUACCAAUGAAAGAUUUAUCGCCAUAGGAUGGACCCGCGUCCCAUUAGCUAGUUGGUGAGAUAACAGCUCACCAAGGCGACGAUGGGUAGCCGGCCUGAGAGGGCGAACGGCCACACUGGGACUGAGACACGGCCCAGACUCCUACGGGAGGCAGCAGUGGGGAAUAUUGCGCAAUGGGGGAAACCCUGACGCAGCAACGCCGCGUGAAUGAUGAAGGUCUUCGGAUCGUAAAGUUCUGUCGAAGGGGAAGAAAAAAAUGACGGUACCCUUAGAGGAAGCCCCGGCUAACUACGUGCCAGCAGCCGCGGUAAUACGUAGGGGGCAAGCGUUGUCCGGAUUUACUGGGCGUAAAGGGCUUGUAGGCGGUUUUUUAAGUCAGGUGUGAAAGUUCGGGGCUCAACCCCGGAAUUGCAUUUGAAACUGGAGAACUUGAGUACUGGAGAGGUAAGUGGAAUUCCUAGUGUAGCGGUGAAAUGCGUAGAUAUUAGGAGGAACACCAGUGGCGAANGCGACUUACUGGNACAGAUACUGACGCUGAGGANCGAAAGUGUGGGGAGCAAACAGGAUUAGAUACCCUGNUAGUCCACGCCGUAAACGAUGAGUGCUAGGUGUUGGGGANACUCAGUGCCGUANUUAACACAAUAAANCACUCCGCNNGGGNAGUGCGGUCGCAANACUGAAACUC
Molecule: ribosomal RNA, 883 nt
Filed under: uncultured bacterium
Lineage: Bacteria
Description: bacterial SSU rRNA
Rfam family: Bacterial small subunit ribosomal RNA
Source: RNAcentral